GUGGGGAAUAUUGGACAAUGGGCGCAAGCCUGAUCCAGCCAUGCCGCGUGAGUGAUGAAGGCCUUAGGGUUGUAAAGCUCUUUUGUCCGGGAAGAUAAUGACUGUACCGGAAGAAUAAGCCCCGGCUAACUUCGUGCCAGCAGCCGCGGUAAUACGAAGGGGGCUAGCGUUGUUCGGAAUCACUGGGCGUAAAGCGCACGUAGGCGGACCAUUAAGUCAGGGGUGAAAGCCUGGAGCUCAACUCCAGAACUGCCUUUGAUACUGAUGGUCUCGAGUUCGGAAGAGGUUGGUGGAACUGCGAGUGUAGAGGUGAAAUUCGUAGAUAUUCGCAAGAACACCAGUGGCGAAGGCGGCCAACUGGUCCGAUACUGACGCUGAGGUGCGAAAGCGUGGGGAGCAAACAGGAUUAGAUACCCCAGUAGUCC
RNAcentral lists this ribosomal RNA (425 nucleotides) under uncultured bacterium. Its description in RNAcentral is "partial 16S ribosomal RNA". It matches the Rfam family "Bacterial small subunit ribosomal RNA", at positions 354 to 796 of the family's 1533-position model. The record is from RNAcentral.